UCGAGUAUCUGUAUCUCCAAUGUCUGUUGAUUUAUGUUUGCUUGCACUUUCACAUGAUAGUCGUGUGGGCUUGCUCCAUUCAUUUCAACAAUUUUUGAGACCUCCCAUGUUGCAGCUCGGUAUGGAGAAACAACAUUCCUUUACCAUAUUGUUGCAAAAUGGAAUGCUGACCCAGAUACCCCUGAUAACGAUGGCAGAAGCCCUUUGCACUGGUAGUUUAUUUAUCUUUCCGUAGGGUUCCGCCAGUAUUUCAUUCUGAUGAUACUUUCAUUUUCUUUCUGCUAUGGUUUUCUGGAUGUGCAAAUAUUUAUCUUUUGCUACUAUUAAGAAAGCCUUUCAAACAUUUUCAAUGUAUAAGACUUGCAGAAGCACAUAGUUUUCGGUUGUUUACCGAUGGGAGCAUGAGAAUUUUCCGUCAGGUUAACAUAUUGAAAGUUUAAAAGAAAUUUGAAUUAUAUUCAUCUGAGCGUCGAAGGAGAUAUUCCACACUUGGCGACCAUAACAACCAUUGGAACAUCUAUAUCAUAUAUUUAUGCCUGGCAACGCUAGAAGGUUGUUUGACAGACGUUGUGAUGGAAAUAGCCCGCUUGGUAGACUAUCAAAAUUAGGACUUGCACCUGCAUUGUGGUGUGUAAUUAUUUCACUGCUUGUUACCUACGUACAUUCUGUGCUCACAGUUGACGGCUGGGUUUGGACUUCUUGCUUGGUUUGGGGUUUUAUUGGCAACUGUUGGACUCGCUAUGUUUUAUAGGUGCAGUAGGGGUCAAUGUAGAUGCUUAGACUACCAAAGUGGAUGGUGCAUGGGAGUUCUUUCCAUUGCACAUUUUCAGUCUUGAAACUGAGCUAGUGACUAAAUACUAGAGAUAGGCAAAAAGGUUAGAUGUUUUAUUGUUGUUGUUGAUAUUUUUGUGGGAUGUAUAUUAGUUGAUAUA
Asparagus officinalis (garden asparagus) is the source of this 932-nucleotide long non-coding RNA. RefSeq lists it as uncharacterized. NCBI's taxonomy places the organism in Eukaryota, Viridiplantae, Streptophyta, Magnoliopsida, Asparagales, Asparagaceae. The record is from RefSeq and is a predicted model, not a curated record. The transcript is spliced from 5 exons.